UAAAGAGAGAGUCAUGAUCAGUUCAAAUCCCUGCCGGAAAUUAAUGACGAAACUUGCAAAGAAUGGCAAUUUAACAGACCAACAGUUUAGAGAAUGAAUUCAACUUCUCACAAAAGUGUCCCUUUCUGUCGUACCCUUUAUAAACUGGCUCAAAGAUACUUACGAACACUUAUCCGAUUGUCCGCCGCCGAUUAAGGCUUUAAUUCAUUCUAUCGCUGCAAGUUCUCCUGUGUGUGGGUUGAUUAAACCAACUGAAGAACUUCAUUCCCUUUUCAGAGAACUCAUCAGCGGAGAAAAUGUAUUUAGUUGUCCGGCUAAACUGACGCUUCUUCAUGAGCAAUACCCGGUUAUCUUUGCUGUUCUUCGUGAACUUAGGCCAACAGUUUUACCACGAAUGUGGCGUCCGAUGUUUGCGGAAUUUUUGAUGAAGUCAAAAGCGCCAUUUGUAAACACCACCGGCACCACGGCUCCGUCUAUUUCAGCACCAAUAGAGGAUUCGGAAACCGACGCCUUGUGUUUCUUCCCAACUUUACCGAAACGUCGAAAUCGUAAAUUUUACUUGGCUGACGCUGCACGUCGUACAGAUGAAAUUUGUUCCAAAAAACAUCCCGGACAUUCUUUUUUUCUUCCAGGCAUAUUCACACUGUUUUGCCCACAUGGUUUUAACUAUGGCUACCAAGUCAUGCAGAGACGGGAAUCUCCAAACGUACCAUUUUUCUAACAAGUUUUGUAACAGCACCUCGAGUUAUAAUAUAUGACAAUGCAUGUAAUCUGCAUAGCUACUGCCUCAACAGAGAUCCUGCGUACUUCAAGGACACAACUUUUUUGGUUGACCGGUUUCAUUGGGGAAACCAUAAAGGUUGUUCUGGUGGCUAUAACCUUAAUAUAUACCCCCAACUGACAGUCAUUAAUAGUCAAGUGAACGAACAAGCAAAUUCAAUCAUUCAAAGAUAUCGUGCCCAGUUGUCUUUCAUGACCCAAGA
Molecule: long non-coding RNA, 983 nt
Organism: Dendronephthya gigantea
Lineage: Eukaryota; Metazoa; Cnidaria; Anthozoa; Malacalcyonacea; Nephtheidae
Exons: 4
Source: RefSeq, a predicted model, not a curated record